GUGAAUAGAAGCCUGAUUGCAGUGAGCAGGGGUGGAGGAAGUGGGAGAAGGAAAUGAAGAUCGAUAUGGUAAAUUCUGCAGUAAUUUACUGCAUUGUCAAGCGAGGCUUUCUUUAGGAAGCGAAGAUUGUGUCAGGGUGCAGGUCAAGGGGCAGAAGCCACAUGGAGAGAAGGAUGGGAGCAUAACAACUCAUCUUAUCUUGCAAGUCAUUUAAAACACAGACUUCAUAAGCUCACAGAGGUCCUCAAGCUCACCUGAGUCCUCAUGCUGCAAAGCCUCACACAUUCUCCUGAACAGGAGGUGGCAAGAAAAUGUUAAAGACUUUUAAAAAUUCAACCAUAUCACAUAAAUUAAUUUAUCAAGAUGCUG
RNAcentral lists this long non-coding RNA (369 nucleotides) under Pan troglodytes (chimpanzee). RNAcentral describes it as "long non-coding RNA NONPTRT005448". Lineage: Eukaryota; Metazoa; Chordata; Mammalia; Primates; Hominidae. The record is from RNAcentral.